UCGCUUGUAUCCCAGUGGUCAGCGCGCUUGGUAGUAAACCUAAGGUCCAGGGAUCAAAUCCCGCUGGCGCC
Molecule: transfer RNA, 71 nt
Filed under: Hordeum vulgare
Lineage: Eukaryota; Viridiplantae; Streptophyta; Magnoliopsida; Poales; Poaceae
Description: tRNA-OTHER
Source: RNAcentral